AGCCCUUGACAUGGACGUCGCGACUUCAGAGAUGAAGUUUUCGGUUCGGCCGGACGUUACACAGGUGCUGCAUGGUUGUCGUCAGCUCGUGUCGUGAGAUGUUGGGUUAAGUCCCGCAACGAGCGCAACCCCUGUCCUUAGUUGCCAUCAGGUAAUGCUGGGAACUCUAGGGAUACUGCCUGGUUUAACCAGGAGGAAGGUGGGGAUGACGUCAAAUCAUCAUGGCCCUUACGACCAGGGCUAGACACGUGCUACAAUGGACGGUACAAUGGGAUGCCAAGUCGCGAGACCGAGCGAAUCCUCAAAACCGUUCUCAGUUCGGAUAGGAGUCUGCAAUUCGACUCCUUGAAGUUGGAAUCGCUAGUAAUCGUGGAUCAGCAUGCCACGGUGAAUACGUUCCCGGGCCU
RNAcentral lists this ribosomal RNA (407 nucleotides) under uncultured bacterium. RNAcentral's name for it is "bacterial SSU rRNA". It matches the Rfam family "Bacterial small subunit ribosomal RNA", at positions 976 to 1381 of the family's 1533-position model. The record is from RNAcentral.